UACGUAGGGUGCAAGCGUUGUCCGGAAUUAUUGGGCGUAAAGAGCUCGUAGGCGGUCUGUCGCGUCUGCUGUGAAAAACUCAGGGCUUAACCCUGAGCUUGCAGUGGGUACGGGCAGACUAGAGUGCGGUAGGGGAGACUGGAAUUCCUGGUGUAGCGGUGAAAUGCGCAGAUAUCAGGAGGAACACCGGUGGCGAAGGCGGGUCUCUGGGCCGAUACUGACGCUGGAGGAGCGAAAGCGUGGGGAGCGAACAGG
This 255-nucleotide ribosomal RNA is filed under the name uncultured bacterium. RNAcentral's name for it is "partial 16S ribosomal RNA". It matches the Rfam family "Bacterial small subunit ribosomal RNA", at positions 524 to 776 of the family's 1533-position model. The record is from RNAcentral.